RNAcentral lists this long non-coding RNA (833 nucleotides) under Olea europaea subsp. europaea. Lineage: Eukaryota; Viridiplantae; Streptophyta; Magnoliopsida; Lamiales; Oleaceae. The record is from RNAcentral.
CAAGUAAAAAUAUUAUACUAUUAUCUAAUAUUACUUAUUAUUUGAAAAUUAUGCGUAAAGCAUAAUAUAAGUUUCAAAAUAGAAAAAAUUAUGUUUAAUAAAUUAUGAUAUAAUAUAUAAAAUAUGUUAUAUUAUUAUAAUAAAUCGGAUCGGAUUGGAUCGACAUAUAUUCAUAUUUGUUCCAUUUAGUUAACGGAUUAUCGAAUUCGGAUCUUAAUCGGAUUAUGAGAUUGAAACUUUAAAUCCAUCUCUCGUUAAUUUCAUCGGAUUCGGAUUAAAAUUCAAUCCAUUGGCUGCCCUAGUCUCGGUACACUCGUAUUAACUAAAGACAAACUUGACGUCAAUUCAUUAUAUUUAGUAGGUUCGUAAAUUGCAAAGUUCCGUUGCUAACAGGAGCAAAAUAUUAAAGUUAGUCCUGUUCAACGGUUAGUUUUGAUAUUCUAGUUUUAUGUCCCCAACAUAUAAGAGAUUUUGGCUAACAUCGAGAUUUGAUGGUCAUCACAAGUUUUGUUAGGAUUAUCAAUCUUUAUAGUUGCUUCAAUUUCUUGCUUUCUUUGAAGGUGGUGACAUAAUUGGUGAAGCUUCGCUUGAUAGUUCAUUGGCCAUUUAUUGCUUUUGCUAGAGAGAAUUAUCGAGGAUAAUUUUUUAUAUUCGAAGGUAUUGUUGGGAAGAAAUAAUAAAGUUUUUCAGACAUAAAUGUAAUAGAAUAAUAUAAUUCGAAAUAUAUAACUACAGUAGAGGCACAUGGUUAGAAUAAUAGUUUAACUUUGUAGAAAUUAAUUAGAGUAUUAUGUAAUAUGAGAGAGUUAUUAAUAGAAACUUUCAUAUAAAAA